Long non-coding RNA from Triticum dicoccoides, 900 nucleotides. RefSeq lists it as uncharacterized. The record is from RefSeq and is a predicted model, not a curated record. The transcript is spliced from 2 exons. Lineage: Eukaryota; Viridiplantae; Streptophyta; Magnoliopsida; Poales; Poaceae.
AGGCCAGGGCGGGCCCCCGCGACGCCCCGCUGCCGGAGCCAGGCCACGACGGCCCCCCGCGUCGCUGCCCAGCCUGCUUCCCUCGCGCCGCCGCCCAACCUCCUCCCCCCGAGACGCCGCCCAACCUCCGCGACUCACCCUUCCCUCCCCGGCCUCCUUCUACCUCCGCCGUCGCGCCGGCCGGCCUAGCCCCGCCGUCAUCCUCGAGAAGUGCGCCGCGUGCCCUGGAGCAGUGCACCGCGAGCCUCUCUAGCAGCUCAUCCAUGGGCGCCGGCAGUUUUUUUUGGCCUGCAGUUCGGUGCCCCCCGCGUGCAGUCCGGUGGUGCUACGCAUGUACUAGUGCUCAGGUGAGUCGCACUACAGCUCGGUUGGGUGGGCGCCAGUGUCCUCCGACGGGCAUGUGUGCAGUGCACUCCGGCGGCGGGGGGUAGCCAUCUCCUCUCACGCUUCCAGCAGCAUCGGGAGGAGGAUGGUGGAGAAAUAUUCUCCCAGCUUGCUAUCGUUGCAGGUUAGUUGGGCGUCAAUGCAGUACGCAAGCACUUGAGAGGACGAUUGGCACGCACUUCAGUUUUAGCCGUGCGACGCUGCAGUAUGGAUGCACGCGGCAGGAGGUUCGUUGCUGCAGUUUGCUUGGUGUUGGCAGGAGGUUCUCCAGCUGGCCCAUGUAGUUUACCUGGUGCAGUUCGGCCAGUUGAUGGUUGCGGUUAAAAGGAAAAUUGUGUGGAGUACACUUUCUUUGGGAUGAAAAAAUAAGUGCAAAUGUGGUUCACUAAUUAUUUUCUCAGGGUUCAGUUAACUAUAUUUUGUGUGAUGAGAGCCGCUCCAACGUUUGAUUUAGUAAACUGAACCCUGAGAAAAGUUAUAUGGACUCGUUUGAAAAUUGUUUACCAAAGAAGUUCA